RNAcentral lists this unclassified non-coding RNA (318 nucleotides) under uncultured Eurotiomycetes. RNAcentral's name for it is "sequence contains ITS1". The stretch from base 1 to 105 matches the Rfam family "5.8S ribosomal RNA", at positions 50 to 154 of the family's 154-position model. The record is from RNAcentral. Lineage: Eukaryota; Fungi; Ascomycota; Eurotiomycetes.
GAAAUGCGAUAAGUAAUGUGAAUUGCAGAAUUCAGUGAAUCAUCGAAUCUUUGAACGCACAUUGCGCCCCCUGGUAUUCCGGGGGGCAUGCCUGUUCGAGCGUCAUUUCACCACUCAAGCAAUGCUUGGUAUUAGGCCUUCGUCCUCCCCCGCGGUGGGCGUGCCUCAAAACCUUCGGCGAAGUCUUUCCGGCUUUGGGCGCAGUAGAAUUUCUAAAACGCUCUGUGAGUCCGGACGGAUCUUCCGCCGCGAAUCGAUCCCUCGGGAUCAUUUUUCAAGGUUGACCUCGGAUCAGGUAGGGAUACCCGCUGAACUUAA